RNAcentral lists this ribosomal RNA (497 nucleotides) under uncultured bacterium. RNAcentral describes it as "partial 16S ribosomal RNA". It matches the Rfam family "Bacterial small subunit ribosomal RNA", at positions 28 to 507 of the family's 1533-position model. The record is from RNAcentral.
GAUGAACGCUGGCGGCGUGCCUAAUACAUGCAAGUCGAGCGAACAGACGAGGAGCUUGCUUCUCUGACGUUAGCGGCGGACGGGUGAGUAACACGUGGAUAACCUACCUAUAAGACUGGGAUAACUUCGGGAAACCGGAGCUAAUACCGUAUAAUAUUUUGAACCGCAUGGUUCAAAAGUGAAAGACGGUCUUGCUGUCACUUAUAGAUGGAUCCGCGCCGCAUUAGCUAGUUGGUAAGGUAACGGCUUACCAAGGCAACGAUGCGUAGCCGACCUGAGAGGGUGAUCGGCCACACUGGAACUGAGACACGGUCCAGACUCCUACGGGAGGCAGCAGUAGGGAAUCUUCCGCAAUGGGCGAAAGCCUGACGGAGCAACGCCGCGUGAGUGAAGAAGGUCUUCGGAUCGUAAAACUCUGUUAUUAGGGAAGAACAAAUGUGUAAGUAACUAUGCACGUCUUGACGGUACCUAAUCAGAAAGCCACGGCUAACUACGUG